RNAcentral lists this ribosomal RNA (402 nucleotides) under uncultured eukaryote. RNAcentral's name for it is "bacterial SSU rRNA". It matches the Rfam family "Eukaryotic small subunit ribosomal RNA", at positions 370 to 772 of the family's 1831-position model. The record is from RNAcentral.
UCAGGGUUCGAUUCCGGAGAGGGAGCCCGAGAAAACGGCUACCACUUCCAAGGAAGGCAGCAGGCGCGCAACUUACCCUAAUCUCGAUUCGAGGAGGUAGUGACAAGAAAUACCGAUGCGGGACCCUACGGGUGCCGCGUUCGGAAUGAGUACGAUUCGAACCACCUAACGAGGAACGAUCGGAGGGCAAGUCUGGUGCCAGCAGCCGCGGUAAAUUCCAGCUCCAAUAGCGUACGUUAAAGUUGCUGCAGUUAAAAAAGCUCGUAGUUGAACGUUCGGGUUCCGCGGGACGGGGCCGCCCCGCGAGGGACGGCGCCGCCCCGGGGCUCGUGAUAUCUUAUCUCGCCGCCCGUCGCGAGGCGGACGGAGGGAUGGAUGAGGUUACCUGGAAAAAAUCGGGGC